Gracilinanus agilis (Agile Gracile Mouse Opossum) is the source of this 603-nucleotide long non-coding RNA. RefSeq lists it as uncharacterized. The record is from RefSeq and is a predicted model, not a curated record. The transcript is spliced from 3 exons. NCBI's taxonomy places the organism in Eukaryota, Metazoa, Chordata, Mammalia, Didelphimorphia, Didelphidae.
CUGGGAAGAGAGACAGUAUGUUAACUGUAUAAAUGAAGAGGAAGACAGAAGUUCUCCAAAGUGACUGUGUCACAGGUCCUCUUCUGAUGUGCCAUCAGAAGGCUUCAGUGACACUGGAAGUACACUCUCUGGCAGGUCUUCCCACGCUAUAGAGGUUUGGCCAUUAGAGGAUGAAGCGUAAAGGGAAUCACCACCAGCUUUGCCGCAGUAUGAACCAUUUUGGCUAUCUCACUAUUCCAAGUCCAUCCAGGGAGCCAAGUGGUGCCAUGGAAAGCUCCAUCAACCCACAAGGUGAGCUGAGCUGGAGGAAGACUCUUGGAAGCAGUCAUAUUGUCCUAGACUAGUCCAUGACUGGAGCUUUCAACACUAGAGAGGCUUUGCUGGGUGAGUGACUCAAAUUGAAGGAAGAGGCCUGCAUUGGUGGAUUUUUGGCUGAAUACACCACCGCCACCGGGACUUCCACGUGGAGAUCUGGACUUGAGGGAGCCCUUGCUGGGGGCUGAGCUGGACUUCACUGGAUCAGCUGGUAGGCUAGACAAGGCUCUGUCUCCUUCCUACAUUGCCCACUUUCAAUAUCUCUACCUUGUUGUAAAUAAAAGAUGC